ACGGAGCAGCACUGCCGCGCUGAGCCAUGGACAGUACAGUGGUAGCAGUUGGGCUGACCAUUGCUACUGCAGGAUUUGCGGGCCAUUAGGUUUUACAAGCCAUGAAGCAUAUGGAGCUUCUAGUAAAACGAGUUUUUCAAAGCCUACCAAAAUCUGCCUUCAGCAGUGGCUAUUACAGAGGUGGAUUUGAACCCAAAAUGACAAAACGGGAAGCAGCAUUAAUACUAGGUGUAAGCCCUAAUGCCAAUAGAGGUAAGAUAAGAGAGGCUCAUGGACGAAUUAUGCUCUUAAGUCACCCAGACAAAGGAGGAUCGCCUUACAUAGCAGCCAAAAUCA
This is a long non-coding RNA of Dipodomys spectabilis (banner-tailed kangaroo rat), 336 nucleotides long. RefSeq lists it as uncharacterized. NCBI's taxonomy places the organism in Eukaryota, Metazoa, Chordata, Mammalia, Rodentia, Heteromyidae. The record is from RefSeq and is a predicted model, not a curated record. The transcript is spliced from 3 exons.